UUUUCCUCACUCUUCUUCCUUCAUUUUCCUUCUUUCCUAACCCACUGCCCCCUUUUCCGGCCACCCACCAUAGUGCUUCUGACCACCAUUUAUCAAACAAAAUACAUAAUAUUUAUCAUCUCUUCCUUCUAUAUAUCAUUAUUAAAUUUACUUUUUUAUUGAAGAUAUUUUCUGAGUUUUCAAACGCUAUCUUUAUUGUCAGAUUCCGUCCACCACAAAUUGUUCUUCGACAAAUUACCACCAUAAAAAUACUCUUUUUCGUAUUCCCUACAAAAUCCAUCAAGAAAAAUCAUGUUUCAAUGAGCUUUUUCUGGCGACCACCGCACCUGAAAACAUCAGCAUCAUGCCGGAAAUUUUUGUUUAACGUUAGCAGCAGCCAUAACGCGUGUUUGAGCAUAAAUCAGAAACUAUGCUUCUGUUUUCUUAAUCUGUCAAACGGAUCUAUUAAACACGUUUCAGAUAUGUGGCUCCUUAUGUUGUGUUGUUUCUGUGUAUUUUCUAUAAAAAAAAAAUUGUAUUUUUGUGUUGUGUUAGAGAGAAGAAGAGUGAAGGAAUUAUGGUUGUUAUGUGUGAUGAUGAUCGAGAAGAUGAAGAGGAAAUUUGAGUUUUUUUAUAUUAUGGAAUAUAAAAUAGUUGAGAUGUGAGUAGGAUGUAGAAGAAGGAAAAGUGAGUUUUGAUGUGAUUUUGGG
RNAcentral lists this long non-coding RNA (689 nucleotides) under Medicago truncatula (barrel medic). RNAcentral's name for it is "long non-coding RNA (MTRU_LNC004128)". The record is from RNAcentral. Lineage: Eukaryota; Viridiplantae; Streptophyta; Magnoliopsida; Fabales; Fabaceae.